This 1601-nucleotide small RNA is filed under the name Pongo abelii (Sumatran orangutan). The record is from RNAcentral. Lineage: Eukaryota; Metazoa; Chordata; Mammalia; Primates; Hominidae.
GGUGCAGCUUCAAGCUUAGGACCACCCACCAUGCCCAUCCAGGUGCUGAAGGGUCUGACCAUCACUCGGUAAGAACAGAGGAGACUGCCUGUUACUCGUGAUGGUGAGAAGGCGGAUGUAGACAGGUGCCCAGCAAGUGCCGAGCCAGGCGCUGCCCUAAGCACUGGGCUCAUUAACCUUCUUAGUAACCCUCUUAGGGGCGGAGGUGGGAUGGGGGCGGGGGCUGGGGCUGGGUUGCAGUGAGAUGUCCAGUGUCAGGGUUCUUGAAAGGGCUGCACUUGGGGACCCCGUGAUGUCCAGCACUGGGCUCCAACUGCCCAUGAGGACACGGUGCACCCCGGGACCUUUGACACCCGGGGGUCUGAGGGGCCCCACUCCAGGAGGUGAUGGCGGGGGUGUGGCCGUUUACUCCAUUCAGUGCCUUUUCUGUGUCCUUCCCGACAGCAUCCCUCCAGACUCUCUGCUGUUUCCUGCCUAGGCGUGGCUGCAGCCAUGGGUAGGAAAGUGCUGGCACCCACCCACCUGGGCCGGAGCUGGUUCUGCUCCUGCUACAGGGACACUGAGCUGGCUAUCUCGGCACUUCGGGCAAGAACUGCAACAGGCUCUCCUGGGUCCUGCAGGUGUACAGCCGGGCCCCUGCCUUGUGCCUCAGCUCUGGAGAGCUGCUGCUGCUGGGUGACCUGAUCCAACCUGACAAGGUGCCAUCUUCAGCUACCACUGCAAGGCCCUGAGGGCAACAGCACCACAGCACUGCCCACCCGGCUGCUGAUGGCCUGGUGCCAGCUGGGAGUCCUCCCGCCACUUGGAGGCCACUGAGCCGCCCUUCCAGCCUCGGCCCACCAUGGACAGGGGUAUCCAGCUUCCUCCUCAACCUCGUCCUCUGCCCCUGAGCCAGUGACGCCCAAGGACAUGUCUGUUACCUGGCUCCUGUACCAGCGUGAGCUGGUCAAGGGCAUGACAGUGCUGGAGGCCGUCCUGGAGAUCCAGGCCAUCACUGACAGCAGGCUGCUCUCCAUGGUGCCAGGGCCCGCCAGGCCACCAGGCUCAUGCUGGGACCCAACCCAGUGCACAAGGACUUGGCUGCUGAGCCACACACCCAGGAGAAGGUGGAUAAGUGGGCUACCAAGGGCUUCCUGCAGGCUGGGGGAGGAGCUGCCCAUACACCACCAUGAGACCUGGGCCUGGCUCUCGAGGACAGGCACCACCUGGCCUGGUGCUCCAGGGGUGAAGCCGGCCAGAAUCCUAGGGGAGCUGCUCCUGGUUUGAGCUGCAGUUAGGAAGCACGGGACAUGGUAGGGGAGGCAAAAAGCCUUGGGCGCUAACCUCCCCAUGGAGCCAUUCGGCGUCCCUCGAGCUAGCCACACCCUGACACCAUGUUCAAGGGCCCUGAAAGAGAAGGAUGUCUGCCCCCAACCUCCCCCGUGGGUGUCAACUGGCCAGACGUCAUGAGGGGAGCAGGCCUCAUGAGUGGACACUUACCGUGCGUCCCUGGAGGGAGUGAUCCCCCAGGCAUCGUGUGCCAUGUUACAUUUCUGCCCAGGCAGCAGGGUAGGUGGGUACCAUGGGUGCCCAUCCCACCAGCACAUGGGGCCCCAGAGCAC